GGAGAAAUCGGCUAAAGCUGCCGUCAAGCAGCUGACUCUUAUUCAGCGGGUCCUAGGUUCGAGCCCUAGUGCGUCCACCA
Molecule: transfer RNA, 80 nt
Filed under: Novosphingobium sp.
Lineage: Bacteria; Pseudomonadati; Pseudomonadota; Alphaproteobacteria; Sphingomonadales; Sphingomonadaceae
Description: tRNA-Lys
Rfam family: tRNA
About the family: Transfer RNA (tRNA) molecules are approximately 80 nucleotides in length. Their secondary structure includes four short double-helical elements and three loops (D, anti-codon, and T loops). Further hydrogen bonds mediate the characteristic L-shaped molecular structure. tRNAs have two regions of fundamental functional importance: the anti-codon, which is responsible for specific mRNA codon recognition, and the 3' end, to which the tRNAs corresponding amino acid is attached (by aminoacyl-tRNA synthetases). tRNAs cope with the degeneracy of the genetic code in two manners: having more than one tRNA (with a specific anti-codon) for a particular amino acid; and 'wobble' base-pairing, i.e. permitting non-standard base-pairing at the 3rd anti-codon position.
Source: RNAcentral